Molecule: long non-coding RNA, 519 nt
Organism: Puma concolor (puma)
Lineage: Eukaryota; Metazoa; Chordata; Mammalia; Carnivora; Felidae
Source: RefSeq, a predicted model, not a curated record
AGGGAACAAAAGGCGGGGCAUCAUGCAGAUUAGAAAUGGCUGUGCGGCGGCGCGGUUUUGAAGGUCUAAAUAUCCGAAUCCGGCGACAUCCUCCAAAUGCAACGGACUGCUCAUUGGCUGUCCUACCCGGCCUGUGACAUAGUGCUUCUCCAGUAUUUCCAAUACAUCUCCAACAGGUGUGUUCCUGGUGGUCUUUGGCUGGAUGGCGUUGACAAGUUAUUAAGAGGGUCCACCGAUGGACCCAUAUGGGAACUGCGACAUGGAAUGCGUUUUAUUCUAACAAGCAAAGUCCCCCCCCCCCCCGUUGGAAGGCCUAUAAACGAGAAUACAAGUCAUGAAAUACCGCUAUUUACAAAUAGAACUGCUCAAAAGAGAAACUAGAAAAAAAAGAGAAAAGGUUGUUGAUCUCAUAACUCCCAGAGCAAGACAACUUAGUAAAAGGGUAGAGGGAUGGAUAUAUAUGUAUCUGCAUCUGUGUCGGUGUAUGUAUGUACAGUACACAACAGAUCCAUGAUGUUA